GACAUUGAGGAUUCCAACCAGAAUCUCUACUUGGAUAUCGGUGAUAUGGAGGUCUUUCUUAAUGUAGAUGAUGGCUCCACUCAUUACUCCAAUAUCUGCAUAAACCAAACCGUUAAAUAAUUAACCAUAAAAGCUAGGAGUAAUAUUUAUAAAAUUUAAAUUUAAGACAUGAACCAAUUCCAUUAAAUAAUAAACAAUAAACCUAAUAUUUACUACUAUAAAAUUUAAAUUUAAUCGAUCUUUAUAUUUUACCAUUAAGUUCAUUACAUGACUUUUGAAUUUAUUUAUAUAUAUAUAUAUAUAUUG
This 306-nucleotide long non-coding RNA is filed under the name Nicotiana benthamiana. Its description in RNAcentral is "long non-coding RNA (NBEN_LNC014287)". Lineage: Eukaryota; Viridiplantae; Streptophyta; Magnoliopsida; Solanales; Solanaceae. The record is from RNAcentral.